AGCUCCAAUAGCGUAUAUUAAAGUUGCUGCAAUUAAAAAGCUCGUAGUUGCAUUUCCGAUGCAAGGGAUUAGUCCGACCUUUGGUGGGUAUUUAAUCCUCUUGCCUCGUCAUUGAGUGGUGCUUCUUGGUAUUAAGUUAUCGAGGAGAUAGCCGCUCAUCGUUUACUGUGAGAAAAUUAGAGUGUUCAAAGCAGGCUUAUGCCGUUGAAUAUAUUAGCAUGGAAUAAUAAGAUAGGACCUCGGUACUAUUUUGUUGGUUUGAGAACCAAGGUAAUGAUGAAUAGGGACAGUUGGGGGUAUUCGUAUUCAGUUGUCAGAGGUGAAAUUCUUAGAUUUACGGAAGACGAACUACUGCGAAAGCAUUUACCAAGGAUGUUUUCA
Molecule: ribosomal RNA, 381 nt
Filed under: uncultured marine Chaetocerotaceae
Lineage: Eukaryota; Bacillariophyta; Thalassiosirophyceae; Chaetocerotales; Chaetocerotaceae
Description: SSU rRNA
Rfam family: Eukaryotic small subunit ribosomal RNA
Source: RNAcentral